Physcomitrium patens is the source of this 613-nucleotide non-coding RNA. The record is from RefSeq and is a predicted model, not a curated record. NCBI's taxonomy places the organism in Eukaryota, Viridiplantae, Streptophyta, Bryopsida, Funariales, Funariaceae.
UGUGGCUUGUGAGCGAGAUCAAUGGAGUCGUGCCAUUGCUGGGCGUGUGAAUGUGGCGCCACGGCAUUUGUCUGCCGAAGCUGAGACUCUCUUGUCUGCUACUCUCAUUCAUGAGGGUAUGCAUGUGUUGGGUUGUCAUCCACACGCCUUUGCUCACUUUCGAGAUGAGCGCAAGCGGAGGCGCAGAGAGGUGGUGGCACAAGAGUUCGACUCCAAUUUGAGGCGAAUGGUGACGCGAAUCGUUUUGCCCAGGGUGGUUGCGCGUUCACGGCAGCAUUAUGGGGCUUACUCCAAGGAUUUCAGUUGAUUAGAACUGGAAGAUGGUGGAGGGAGAGGGACGGCGGGGUCGCAUUGGGAGAAGCGAUUGUUGAUGAAUGAAAUAAUGACAGGGUCUGUGGACACAACGUUAAUGAAAUACCAGAGGACGAAGUCUGGAAUCCGUCACUGGCCGAGAAAACAAAAUAUGGACCUUUAAAUGAUUACUAAGCAAGCCAAGCAAUUGUGAUUAAAGCUAGAUGAGUCUUUGUUUGCUUAGAUUUGAUUGUACUUAGAAUAAAUCAGAGUGAUUGAUAGUUCUUAUAUGUGAAACAAAUGAAAUAUUCAUGAAUAUAUC